This 404-nucleotide ribosomal RNA is filed under the name uncultured Meniscus sp. RNAcentral's name for it is "bacterial SSU rRNA". It matches the Rfam family "Bacterial small subunit ribosomal RNA", at positions 355 to 755 of the family's 1533-position model. Lineage: Bacteria; Pseudomonadati; Bacteroidota; Bacteroidia; Marinilabiliales; Prolixibacteraceae. The record is from RNAcentral.
UAAGGGAUAUUGGUCAAUGGGGCGGGAGCCUGAACCAGCCAUGCCGCGUGAGGGAAUGAGGCCCUACGGGUCGUAAACCUCUUUUGCCGGGGGAUAACGGGCGCCACGGGUGGCGCCGUGAAGGUACCCGGAGAAUAAGCAUCGGCUAACUCCGUGCCAGCAGCCGCGGUAAUACGGAGGAUGCAAGCGUUAUCCGGAUUUAUUGGGUUUAAAGGGUGCGUAGGCGGUAUGGUAAGUCAGUGGUGAAAUGUCUCCGCUCAACGGUGAAAGUGCCAUUGAUACUGUCGUACUUGAAUUCGGAUGCCGUGGGAGGAAUGUGUAGUGUAGCGGUGAAAUGCAUAGAUAUUACACAGAACACCGAUUGCGAAGGCAUCUCACGAAUCCGACAUUGACGCUGAGGCACG